Molecule: ribosomal RNA, 269 nt
Filed under: uncultured prokaryote
Description: partial 16S ribosomal RNA
Rfam family: Bacterial small subunit ribosomal RNA
Source: RNAcentral
UACGGGGGGGGCGAGCGUUGUCCGGAUUUAUUGGGCGUAAAGAGCACGUAGGUGGGGUGGUCAGUCGAAGGUGAAAACCCAUGGCUUAACUAUGGGCCUGCCUCCGAUACUGCCACUCUUGAGUACGGAAGAGGGAAGUGGAAUUCCUGGUGUAGCGGUGAAAUGCGUAGAUAUCAGGAAGAACACCGGUAGCGAAGGCGGCUUCCUGGUCCGUUACUGACGCUGAGGUGCGAAAGCGUGGGGAGCAAACAGGAUUAGAUACCCGCGUA